GAAGUCCCAGCCUUCUUCUGGCGCUCCAGAUGAACCUCAGCCGACAUGUUCUGACCUUGGAAUCACCACGGCGAGAGUUCACCACCACCGAAGAAGAAACGGCGGAACCUUUGAAGCCUGUCCUGUUCUGUGCUGCAGGGUGUGCGUUGGGCGAGCAACAGCAUGUGUGUGAGCGCGUGUGUCACAGCCAGGUCAUUCGGUCUCUCGCAGCCCGGCUGAUGGGCUGUGCUCCCGUCUGAACCCUCCUCCCGCCCUGCCCUGCUGCUGCGACUCAAAGGAGAAGUGUGCGUUCGUAUGAUAGUUUGUGUGCGUUGCUGCUGUUGCAGGCCGGGCCGGGCCUCCCCAGGGGCCGCAGCCGCGGUGCCUGUGCUAACAGCAGCAGUCAGCAGGACCUGGGCCUCCAUCUGGGCUUCCUCUGUCAGGAACCAGCUGUGUCUGCGGACGCCGGCCACUCGUUCCCCUCCUCGCAUCUUCGGGUCUCGGCGUUCCCUUUACCUUGUUCUCAAGAUCCCUCUGCCUGCAUGUGCUGUGGCCCAUAAUCAGUGCUGAUGGAUGGUCUCCAGUUAAUGCUAAAGGUUUGAAAAUAAGCCCUAAAGGUUAACAAAUCGUAAUAAAACAGUGUAAAAUGUAAUUCAUUGUAAAUAGCUUCCACCUGUGUUUCUAAAACUUAGGAAAAUAAAAACAGACUCUUCAUCUUC
Long non-coding RNA from Betta splendens (Siamese fighting fish), 698 nucleotides. RefSeq lists it as uncharacterized. The transcript has 2 exons. Lineage: Eukaryota; Metazoa; Chordata; Actinopteri; Anabantiformes; Osphronemidae. The record is from RefSeq and is a predicted model, not a curated record.